This is a long non-coding RNA of Ictalurus punctatus (channel catfish), 4674 nucleotides long. RefSeq lists it as uncharacterized. The record is from RefSeq and is a predicted model, not a curated record. Lineage: Eukaryota; Metazoa; Chordata; Actinopteri; Siluriformes; Ictaluridae. The transcript has 8 exons.
UAUGUACAAGGUUUUAUAUUAAAUAUAGUGCUAUGAAUAUUAAUGUGUGUUUAUAUAGAUGAGCCGUUAAUUGUGGUUAUGUCCGAACAACACAAUGCACAGUAAUGAGCUGUGUCUGUAAAAUAGCCCAAACCUACCUUCAGUUUCAGGCGGCGUUGUGUGUUGCGCUAGAUGGAGCUUGACUGCCCUCGUGUGGCCAAACUCGGGAACGGCGAUUUUCUAGAAGCGGAUUUCUGGGCAAGAACUGUUGCAUGAUAUUAUUAUUAUUAAUCUCUCUCUUCCCUUUUGUCCCGUCCAUGAUAAUUAUUGUUGUUAUUUAACAAUUGUAGACAUGAGCUCAUGUUAAAAUGAAUAAAUAGGGAAUAAAAUGGUAAUAACCAUAUAUAUUCUCGAGCGAAAUAGACGAGGCCACCUAGGGAACACAUGAAGUUAUGUAGGAGCAGUGAUGAGAAUGAAAUGACUAAUAAUAUUAAGAAAGACAUUAAUAAUGUUAAUAUUAGCAAUUAAUUUGUGUAAUUUAUUAUGAUAACUAUACUGCUAUGUACAUGAUAUAAUGUUGAUAUGUUUUAAAUGUGUGUUGUGUUCUGUCCUUAUACCGUGUCUAGGUCAGUCUCCCUGGCGUGCGCGCACAGACAUAUAGUCAAAUCCGAGCAGCGAGCCAUAAGAUCUGUUAUGACGUCACGUUCAGAGUUCUAUAAGUUUCCUGAUGGCGGCGUUGUGCUGGAUGGAGCUUGACUGCCCUCGUGUGUCCAAACUCAGGAACGGCAGUUUCCCUGAAGCGGUAUUCUGUUCCAAGUUUGUGGUAGUUAGCCAAGAAAUAUUACAUGAUUACCAUUACUCUCUCUCUCCCCUUUUUAAAACCUGUUCACGAUAAUUAUUGUAUACAUUACCUUUAUUUUUGUAAUCUUCUCCCAUAUUUGUGGAUAUUCUCGAGUGAAAUAGACGAGGCCAUGUAGGGAACACAUGAAGUUACCUAGGAGCAGAGUCUAAAAUAUCUUUUUGAGGGACCUCAAACUAUUAUCAUUUGCUAUACUAUUGAUCAUUACAUUACGUACAUCUUAUUCGUAUAUGGAAAGUACUUAAUGAAGAUAAUAUACUUUAGAUUUUUUUAUGUAACCAUUUAAGUAUUUGUUGAAAUGCUUUUGUUACUGAUAAAUACAUGUACAUUUAAAUUGAUUUUGUUCUGUCUGUGAUUUUGUAGAUCUGGAUGUUCAGCUGGUCUCAGAUCAAGCAUCCUCCUCUGUAUUGACUCCACUAUCCCCAGCUUCAUCCCAUUCAUCAGAUUCCACAAUUGUCCUGGAGUCCAGAAGAAAGAGAAGGAACCCAACAGUUAAUGGAGCAGAAUGAAGCAAGACAGAAAGUUGAUUGUGUUCUGAGGGUCAAUCCAAAGGGUGAGGAAAUCUUCAAGGAGUAUGAAAAGACCAAAACACUAACAUGUCUGCAACCAGGACGUUCACCAUCUGUUUACGUGUGGCAUAUGUUAGAGCUACAUGGGAGGAUUCCAUGGUCAAGUGUGAGGACCAAUUAUGCACUGGGAAUUGUGACUCUUUUUCCAUACCUCCAAGAUCCUUUCUCCAAACAUGGAUAUGAACACUACUAUGAUCCUUUAGGGUAAUACUGGCUUCAUUGCAUGGAGGAUCAAGACAGUUCAACAUAACACCUGUGCUGGCUCCCGGUGUCAUUCCAAGACUGUUCUUCAGGAUGGUCCAAAAAACAGACAAGAAUCUCUGUUAACUUGUCAACAGCGAUUUGGUGAGGAGUGCAGGGAGGCGAUAUCUACAAUACGAUAUUCCACUGAUGAGAAGAUGAGCGACUUUCCAGUAUUGACAGAAGAUGGUGGGUGAGGAUGCAUCAUCUUCUGUCCUGGAUUUGUUCACUUGUUUCCUUGCUGUAUCUGGAUUGAUCGACCACGAUUUCUCCAUGAUGUUUGGUGACGAAGUGUCUCAGAAGUUCCUGGCAAAGUGGUCAACAUUCUUCAAGCCAAAAAUCAUUGCAGACUGCAAGACUCUUAAGAAUAUGGGCGAGCUGCUGUCAGGAACUGAACCUGAAUCUGAGGACUACAAUGGAUGGGACAGCGAUAUGUCCUCAAUCCUUUUGCAGCUGCAUCUGCUCCCUCUAACCUCAAGAGGCCAGAAAAAAAAUAUCCAAGAUCAGUUCAGCUCAAGCAACCAGCCAUCUUGUGAGCUACCUUAAGGAAGGAGCCAGUGUGACUACCUUCAUUGAGAGUGCUGACACAAGACAACCAUUUCUCCUCUGCAUCGGUGAGCGAAAGAAGGAUAUCCAAAAGUUCUACAUUAUUAUCGACCAAAAGGCGAUCCCAUGUAAGGCGCACACAUCAGUGGCAGCUUUUGAUGAACUGUUCAAAGCUCACUAUGUCUUCAGUUUCUGAUAUGAUGAAGCUCUUUGUGAUUUCUACACAUUUAUCCAAACCACUAUAUAUAACAUCGAUGUCGGAAGAGCAAUGGAGAGCCUGCGUGUUAAAGAACUUUGAGCAUGAUUGCUGCAGCGAGAUUAACUGCCUUGAAGAUGUUCACAUGUUUUGUAUGUAAAGCACACCUCAGAACUUGUUUGGUUCUUCGUCAACAUUUAAAAUUUCAACAUGGUUUAUAUCCUAGCAAAAAGUUACAUUUAAAAUGUGGAGAGCCAGGUCGCCUGUUAUCAUUUUGUACUUAUAGUGGCUUCCGAAAACACCUCAGCAAGGUACAUAGUCACACUAUGGAUCAGGAGUUUGAUACUAAUCAGGAUCUUUCCACUCAGGGAGAAUAUGAGGCGGAAUGUUCAAAUGAUCGCCCAAGUUUACAAAGUUGGAGUUUACAAAGACAUUAAUGAUGGGUCGUGUUUCCAAAACCAUGCACUGUUCUCACAGCAAAAGCACGCUUUUCAGAUUCUAUUCUAUUACAACGAUUUUGAAACUGCUAACCCUCUAGGUUCCAAGAGGGGGAUCCACAAACUUGGUUGAAUCUAUUUUACUCUAAAAAAUCUUCCACGCAAGUGUAACUCUGUACUGAUUAAUGUACAUCUUGCAGCUUGAUUCUACACGGAAGAUCUUAAGACAUAUGGUUUUGAUGUGAUAAUAAAGCCCCUUAUUGAUGACCUGAAAAUCUUAGAAACCGAAGGCAUACAGCUUCCUUGUUUUGAACAACCAUUGUUUGGCUCAGUAAUUCAAGUAACAGGAAAUAAUUUGGCUUUAAAUGGCUUGCUGGGAAUCUUACAGUGCAACUAAUUUCUGUAGGCUUUGUUUAAUUAGUAAGGAAGAAGUUCAAUCUAUAUUUACUGGAGAUCAUCCUGGGUUAAUUUUUCGUUCCAAAGAGGUUCAUACUGAACAUUGUAAGGCACUAAAUGAAAAUCCUGAACUGCGGUCAAUAUAUGGUGUCAAAAAGUCAUGUGCGCUCAAUUCAUUAGAGUAUUUCCAUUGUACUGAUAACUAUGCUGUUGACAUCAUGCAUGAUCUGCUAGAGGGUGUGGUACAGUAUGAACUUAAACUGGUUUUUGAGUACCUUGUUAAACAGGGUGCACAGCUUUAAUUAUGGUUACACAGACCGUAAAAACAAACCAAGUGGGUUAAAAAUGGAUGAUAAGGGCAAACACCUGGGUUUGAAUGCCAUACAGUCAUGGUGUCUUCUGCACAACACUCCACUGAUAUUUGGUGGUCAUUGAAAGGAAUAACAAUCACUGGAACUUUCUCCUGCUUUUGAUACAGAUUGUCAAUAUAGUGUUCUCCUACACCAUAACUGAUGGGAUGAUAUGUUACUUAAAACAUCUGAUCUGUGAUCACCAUACUCUAUUCAAAGAAUUGAUUCCUGACAAGACGUCGAUUCCCAAGCACCACUUGAUGAUGCACUAUCUGAGAUGCAUAAAAAAAAAUGGCCCUCUUAUCCAUAUGUGGUGAAUGCGAUUUGAAGCUAAGCACCAUAUUUUCAAAAGAUGUGGCAAAAAUUUAAAGAAUCUCAUUAAAUCAUUAGUAAAGCAACAUCAACGUCAAUUGGCAUUUAACUGUGAAAAUGAUUGUUUUAGAAGGUUUGAAUUUGGUCCUACAUCAAAAACCAUCUGUAACUUGCAAGGUGGGGAAGAACUCAGUCAGACAUUAUAUUUAGAAGCCUGUUUGAGUGUUACAAGUACAAAGUGGGUCAGACAUUAUGGUACUGAGUAUCAGGUUGGUGUGUUCAUAUGCACUGGAUGUACUCAUUAAUAACGAAUAAUAAACAUUUCUAUAUGUUGAUAGAAAUAUAAAGCAUUUAUAUAUAUAUGUAUGUGUGUGUGUCCCCUUCUCUUAUCUAAAUAUUCAAACAGCCCAAGAAAUAAAAUUAGCUAUUUUCUGAGACGAUGAAGUGACUCUUAAAAGAGCCUUUGUGUAUAUUAGACGGAGUUGUCGUUUAAGUGCAUUCUCCGCGAAUACGGCAGGCCAGCUGAAUAUCCUUGAGAGAGAUGGAGAAAUGUGAAAAGCUAGCACUGUGGCUACGUGUUUCGCAACCAUGAGCUGUAUUUCAACGCUUUUUGGCCACAGCAUGCUGCCUCACAAACGUCCCAAUUCAUGCCCCCCUUUUCCACAGUCGUUGUGUAUAUCCAGGUAAGGAUAAAAGUUACAUUUCCAUCCAUCCAUCUUCUAUACCGCGUAAUCCUUCUCAGGGUCACGGGUAAAAGCUACAUUUUCCAAAGAAAUUUAACUCGCUGAGA